AAGCUCUUCAGUGUUGUGCUCAUUGGUUUCAUCAAAGCAGGACAAUACUUGGCACUAAGUCGACAAAAUUCUCACUUCUGCAGUGGGUCUCUAGAUGUCCAUGACCCUGCCUUCUCAGGAAAAGAGGGAGGACAUGCGGCUGGAGGGACACAGAGGGCAAGACUGCAUCCCAGUUACAACACCAGGAAGCCACGUCUGAAAGGAAACUCCUCAGAAACCUGGGCAUAGGCUAUCGGGAAAGUAAAGAAGACAUCUGGAGAGGCGAAUAUUCUGAAGGAAUCUCUGCCAGAGGAGAAGGGAAAAGGAAAGCACUUAUCCAGGUCAAAGGCAUGAGUUUCCAGGAGAUUAUUCAUCGUGACUAGAGGAUGACUGUUGACUAGAUUUAUUCCACAGGUAUGGAAGGAAAAGUCUUGGUACAUUUUUUGCAGCAUUUCCUCCUCUCCAUAUAGACUGUUCUCAUUCUGCAGGGCUGGGGUUCACCCAGUAUUCAACUCCAAGCCCUUCACAUAGUAAAAGAAGUAAGGGGAGCCAGGCAUGGUGGCUUACACCUGUAAACCCAGCACUUUGGGAGGGCAAAGCAGGCAGAUUCAUUGAGCUCAGGAGUUCGACCCCAACCUGGGCAACAUGGUGAAACCCUGUCUCUACUAAAAA
This 651-nucleotide long non-coding RNA is filed under the name Homo sapiens (human). Its description in RNAcentral is "non-protein coding lnc-CCNL1-3:1". Lineage: Eukaryota; Metazoa; Chordata; Mammalia; Primates; Hominidae. The record is from RNAcentral.